GUGGGACUGCCCGGUACGAUCGUGGCGAUUAUCCCUGAGGCGAUUCAUCAUCCUAGGGGGCUGUCCCUGCUAGGGCCCUGGCCCAAAGCACAUGGUCCCCACCUGACGUUUUUGGCGUCAGAGGAUAUUCCAGAAAACGGCUAUGGCGGUCCCACC
This 156-nucleotide small RNA is filed under the name Sphingomonas vulcanisoli. Its description in RNAcentral is "6S / SsrS RNA". The record is from RNAcentral. Lineage: Bacteria; Pseudomonadati; Pseudomonadota; Alphaproteobacteria; Sphingomonadales; Sphingomonadaceae.